UCAUACAAACGCUUGAUUCACGCAUGAUAGACU
This 33-nucleotide small RNA is filed under the name Arabidopsis thaliana (thale cress). RNAcentral's name for it is "ATSL150250". The record is from RNAcentral. Lineage: Eukaryota; Viridiplantae; Streptophyta; Magnoliopsida; Brassicales; Brassicaceae.